AUUGAACGCUGGCGGCAUGCCUUACACAUGCAAGUCGAACGGCAGCACGGGAGCAAUCCUGGUGGCGAGUGGCGAACGGGUGAGUAAUAUAUCGGAACGUGCCCAGUCGUGGGGAUAACGUAGCGAAAGCUACGCUAAUACCGCAUACGAUCUAUGGAUGAAAGCGGGGGAUCGCAAGACCUCGCGCGAUUGGAGCGGCCGAUAUCAGAUUAGGUAGUUGGUGAGGUAAAGGCUCACCAAGCCGACGAUCUGUAGCUGGUCUGAGAGGACGACCAGCCACACUGGGACUGAGACACGGCCCAGACUCCUACGGGAGGCAGCAGUGGGGAAUUUUGGGACAAUGGGCGCAAGCCUGAUCCAGCAAUGCCGCGUGCAGGAUGAAGGCCUUCGGGUUGUAAAC
This 400-nucleotide ribosomal RNA is filed under the name uncultured bacterium. Its description in RNAcentral is "bacterial SSU rRNA". It matches the Rfam family "Bacterial small subunit ribosomal RNA", at positions 30 to 430 of the family's 1533-position model. The record is from RNAcentral.